GAAUGAGAUUAGUGCCCUUAUAACAGAGACCCCAGAGAGAUCCCUUACUCCUUCCACCAUGAGAGGACACAAUGAAAAGAUGGCAGUCUGUGAACUAGGAAGUGGGCCCUCUGCAGACACCAAAUCUACUGGCACCUGGAUCUUGAACUUCCAAGCCUCCGAAACUUUGUAGGUCCUUCUGGUUAUGCCAUGUGGGAUGCCGCCUCAGCGUAGCUGGACGAGCAGUGCCGUGUCCACGCCCAGGAUCUGAACCGGUGAAACCCUGGGCCGCCAAGGGGGAGCACAAGAACAUAACCACUCCACGACGGAGCCGAUCCCAGGAACUUCUCUUUAAAGCACAGGCAUUUAUGAUGCUCACAUUAAGUUUUAGGCUAAAUAAAAUAUUUGUUCUCUGCAAA
This 398-nucleotide long non-coding RNA is filed under the name Equus caballus (horse). Its description in RNAcentral is "lncRNA (ENSECAG00000059646.1)". Lineage: Eukaryota; Metazoa; Chordata; Mammalia; Perissodactyla; Equidae. The record is from RNAcentral.